GUGAGAGAAGAGGAGGAAAGACAAAUGCAGAGGCCAAAUAAAAUGCCAAGUAACACACAGCAGGCACAAGAAUGUGUCCCUGAGGAAGGUCGCCCAGACUCAGCUGUCCCGAUGCUCAAAGACAAGAAAGAUGAAUUCUCAGCACUGCAGGGUUUGUUUAAUACACAGCUUAGGCUCUAAGCAAAGGUCCAAGGACACAGCCUUCAUCCUCCC
This 213-nucleotide long non-coding RNA is filed under the name Fukomys damarensis (Damara mole-rat). Its description in RNAcentral is "lncRNA (ENSFDAG00000031439.1)". Lineage: Eukaryota; Metazoa; Chordata; Mammalia; Rodentia; Bathyergidae. The record is from RNAcentral.